GGUUAAGCGACUAAGCGUACACGGUGGAUGCCCUGGCAGUCAGAGGCGAUGAAGGACGUGCUAAUCUGCGAUAAGCGUCGGUAAGGUGAUAUGAACCGUUAUAACCGGCGAUUUCCGAAUGGGGAAACCCAGUGUGUUUCGACACACUAUCAUUAACUGAAUCCAUAGGUUAAUGAGGCGAACCGGGGGAACUGAAACAUCUAAGUACCCCGAGGAAAAGAAAUCAACCGAGAUUCCCCCAGUAGCGGCGAGCGAACGGGGAGGAGCCCAGAGCCUGAAUCAGUGUGUGUGUUAGUGGAAGCGUCUGGAAAGGCGCGCGAUACAGGGUGACAGCCCCGUACACAAAAAUGCACAUGCUGUGAGCUCGAUGAGUAGGGCGGGACACGUGGUAUCCUGUCUGAAUAUGGGGGGACCAUCCUCCAAGGCUAAAUACUCCUGACUGACCGAUAGUGAACCAGUACCGUGAGGGAAAGGCGAAAAGAACCCCGGCGAGGGGAGUGAAAAAGAACCUGAAACCGUGUACGUACAAGCAGUGGGAGCACGCUUAGGCGUGUGACUGCGUACCUUUUGUAUAAUGGGUCAGCGACUUAUAUUCUGUAGCAAGGUUAACCGAAUAGGGGAGCCGAAGGGAAACCGAGUCUUAACUGGGCGUUAAGUUGCAGGGUAUAGACCCGAAACCCGGUGAUCUAGCCAUGGGCAGGUUGAAGGUUGGGUAACACUAACUGGAGGACCGAACCGACUAAUGUUGAAAAAUUAGCGGAUGACUUGUGGCUGGGGGUGAAAGGCCAAUCAAACCGGGAGAUAGCUGGUUCUCCCCGAAAGCUAUUUAGGUAGCGCCUCGUGAAUUCAUCUCCGGGGGUAGAGCACUGUUUCGGCAAGGGGGUCAUCCCGACUUACCAACCCGAUGCAAACUGCGAAUACCGGAGAAUGUUAUCACGGGAGACACACGGCGGGUGCUAACGUCCGUCGUGAAGAGGGAAACAACCCAGACCGCCAGCUAAGGUCCCAAAGUCAUGGUUAAGUGGGAAACGAUGUGGGAAGGCCCAGACAGCCAGGAUGUUGGCUUAGAAGCAGCCAUCAUUUAAAGAAAGCGUAAUAGCUCACUGGUCGAGUCGGCCUGCGCGGAAGAUGUAACGGGGCUAAACCAUGCACCGAAGCUGCGGCAGCGACACUAUGUGUUGUUGGGUAGGGGAGCGUUCUGUAAGCCUGUGAAGGUGUACUGUGAGGUAUGCUGGAGGUAUCAGAAGUGCGAAUGCUGACAUAAGUAACGAUAAAGCGGGUGAAAAGCCCGCUCGCCGGAAGACCAAGGGUUCCUGUCCAACGUUAAUCGGGGCAGGGUGAGUCGACCCCUAAGGCGAGGCCGAAAGGCGUAGUCGAUGGGAAACAGGUUAAUAUUCCUGUACUUGGUGUUACUGCGAAGGGGGGACGGAGAAGGCUAUGUUGGCCGGGCGACGGUUGUCCCGGUUUAAGCGUGUAGGCUGGUUUUCCAGGCAAAUCCGGAAAAUCAAGGCUGAGGCGUGAUGACGAGGCACUACGGUGCUGAAGCAACAAAUGCCCUGCUUCCAGGAAAAGCCUCUAAGCAUCAGGUAACAUCAAAUCGUACCCCAAACCGACACAGGUGGUCAGGUAGAGAAUACCAAGGCGCUUGAGAGAACUCGGGUGAAGGAACUAGGCAAAAUGGUGCCGUAACUUCGGGAGAAGGCACGCUGAUAUGUAGGUGAAGUCCCUCGCGGAUGGAGCUGAAAUCAGUCGAAGAUACCAGCUGGCUGCAACUGUUUAUUAAAAACACAGCACUGUGCAAACACGAAAGUGGACGUAUACGGUGUGACGCCUGCCCGGUGCCGGAAGGUUAAUUGAUGGGGUCAGCGCAAGCGAAGCUCUUGAUCGAAGCCCCGGUAAACGGCGGCCGUAACUAUAACGGUCCUAAGGUAGCGAAAUUCCUUGUCGGGUAAGUUCCGACCUGCACGAAUGGCGUAAUGAUGGCCAGGCUGUCUCCACCCGAGACUCAGUGAAAUUGAACUCGCUGUGAAGAUGCAGUGUACCCGCGGCAAGACGGAAAGACCCCGUGAACCUUUACUAUAGCUUGACACUGAACAUUGAGCCUUGAUGUGUAGGAUAGGUGGGAGGCUUAGAAGUGUGGACGCCAGUCUGCAUGGAGCCGACCUUGAAAUACCACCCUUUAAUGUUUGAUGUUCUAACGUUGACCCGUAAUCCGGGUUGCGGACAGUGUCUGGUGGGUAGUUUGACUGGGGCGGUCUCCUCCUAAAGAGUAACGGAGGAGCACGAAGGUUGGCUAAUCCUGGUCGGACAUCAGGAGGUUAGUGCAAUGGCAUAAGCCAGCUUGACUGCGAGCGUGACGGCGCGAGCAGGUGCGAAAGCAGGUCAUAGUGAUCCGGUGGUUCUGAAUGGAAGGGCCAUCGCUCAACGGAUAAAAGGUACUCCGGGGAUAACAGGCUGAUACCGCCCAAGAGUUCAUAUCGACGGCGGUGUUUGGCACCUCGAUGUCGGCUCAUCACAUCCUGGGGCUGAAGUAGGUCCCAAGGGUAUGGCUGUUCGCCAUUUAAAGUGGUACGCGAGCUGGGUUUAGAACGUCGUGAGACAGUUCGGUCCCUAUCUGCCGUGGGCGCUGGAGAACUGAGGGGGGCUGCUCCUAGUACGAGAGGACCGGAGUGGACGCAUCACUGGUGUUCGGGUUGUCAUGCCAAUGGCACUGCCCGGUAGCUAAAUGCGGAAGAGAUAAGUGCUGAAAGCAUCUAAGCACGAAACUUGCCCCGAGAUGAGUUCUCCCUGACUCCUUGAGAGUCCUGAAGGAACGUUGAAGACGACGACGUUGAUAGGCCGGGUGUGUAAGCGCAGCGAUGCGUUGAGCUAACCGGUACUAAUGAACCGUGAGGCUUAACCUU
RNAcentral lists this ribosomal RNA (2903 nucleotides) under Escherichia coli. RNAcentral's name for it is "23S ribosomal RNA". It matches the Rfam family "Bacterial large subunit ribosomal RNA". The record is from RNAcentral. Lineage: Bacteria; Pseudomonadati; Pseudomonadota; Gammaproteobacteria; Enterobacterales; Enterobacteriaceae.